UGUGGAACGUUAGAGCUCCCUUCGGUCCAAAAAGGGGUUUUGCCGUGGGUCGAUCGAGCUGCUGGGUCAUGGAUCCCGUUAGCCUAUUCCAUGCUCGCUUGCUCAGCUCGAGAUCUGAGAAGAAGCCGCUGAGAUGGGAGCACCCGCCGUUGGGAUAGGCUUACGGCUUGCAUGCCCCAGGAGCUGCAUCAGCCCUCCAUGGACCCUCUUUGGAUUGAAGGGAGCUCUGCAUCUUUUGCUC
Oryza brachyantha (malo sina) is the source of this 241-nucleotide non-coding RNA. The record is from Rfam. Lineage: Eukaryota; Viridiplantae; Streptophyta; Magnoliopsida; Poales; Poaceae.